UACGGAGGGAGCUAGCGUUGUUCGGAAUUACUGGGCGUAAAGCGUACGUAGGCGGUUAUUCAAGUCAGAGGUGAAAGCCCGGGGCUCAACCCCGGAACUGCCUUUGAAACUAGAUAGCUAGAGUCUUGGAGAGGUUAGUGGAAUUCCGAGUGUAGAGGUGAAAUUCGUAGAUAUUCGGAAGAACACCAGUGGCGAAGGCGACUAACUGGACAAGUACUGACGCUGAGGUACGAAAGCGUGGGGGAGCAAACAGG
Molecule: ribosomal RNA, 254 nt
Filed under: uncultured bacterium
Lineage: Bacteria
Description: partial 16S ribosomal RNA
Rfam family: Bacterial small subunit ribosomal RNA
Source: RNAcentral